UACAGAGGCCACAAGCGUUAGUCGGAAUCACUGGGCUUAAAGGGUGCGUAGGCGGGUCUGCAAGCGUCCUGUGAAAUACCACGGCUCAACCGUGGAACUGCAGGGCGAACUGCGGAUCUUGAGGCAUGUAGGGGCUGCGAGAACAGUAGGUGGAGCGGUGAAAUGCGUAGAUAUCUACUGGAAUGCCGAUGGUGAAGACGCGCAGCUGGGCAUGUCCUGACGCUGAGGCACGAAAGCGUGGGGAGCAAACAGG
Molecule: ribosomal RNA, 253 nt
Filed under: uncultured bacterium
Lineage: Bacteria
Description: partial 16S ribosomal RNA
Rfam family: Bacterial small subunit ribosomal RNA
Source: RNAcentral